RNAcentral lists this ribosomal RNA (459 nucleotides) under uncultured bacterium. RNAcentral's name for it is "partial 16S ribosomal RNA". It matches the Rfam family "Bacterial small subunit ribosomal RNA", at positions 339 to 795 of the family's 1533-position model. The record is from RNAcentral.
CUACGGGAGGCUCCAGUGAGGAAUAUUGGUCAAUGGGCGCGAGCCUGAACCAGCCAUCCCGCGUGCAGGAUGACGGCCCUAUGGGUUGUAAACUGCUUUUCUAUGCCAAGAAACCUGAUUACGUGUAAUCAGUUGCCGGUAGCAUAGGAAUAAGCAUCGGCUAACUCCGUGCCAGCAGCCGCGGUAAUACGGAGGAUGCAAGCGUUUUCCGGAUUCAUUGGGUUUAAAGGGUGCGCAGGUGGGCUUGUAAGUCAGUGGUGAAAUGCUGCCGCUUAACGGUAGAACUGCCAUUGAUACUGCGAGUCUAGAGUAUGGUUGAGGUAGGCGGAAUGUGUUGUGUAGCGGUGAAAUGCAUAGAUAUGACACAGAACGCCAAUUGCGAAGGCAGCUUACUAAGCCAUUACUGACGCUGAGGCACGAAAGCGUGGGGAGCGAACAGGAUUAGAUACCCUGGUAGUC